This is a long non-coding RNA of Hordeum vulgare subsp. vulgare (domesticated barley), 977 nucleotides long. RefSeq lists it as uncharacterized. The transcript has 7 exons. Lineage: Eukaryota; Viridiplantae; Streptophyta; Magnoliopsida; Poales; Poaceae. The record is from RefSeq and is a predicted model, not a curated record.
CUAUGUGGACAGCAAUUCUUUCCCUGCAUCCGCUUCGCUGUGGUUGCUUCUUCUAUUUGUGUGGUGGUUGCUGCUGUUUUUUGCCUUUUGCCGCGAAUUUUUAUCUAUAUUACUUAUCCCUUUUGUACAUUCACAAUUUGAUUCUUGCAGAUGGGCCCAUCAGCUCUGCUGAAGCACGGCGCCGUCAUCAAGAUAUUCGGCGGGGGAAGCGUCCCGUUGAAGACAAUUCAUUUAAGAAAUGUGUACCUCUAACUUCAGCAGUGUGCGGGUCUUCCCAUCGCUGUCCAGCGCGAAGACAAUCCAUUUAAGAAAUGUUGUGCGGGUCUUCUUCCAUCGCUGUCCAGCGCGAUUUUCCUACAUUACGGUUUUCAUCAUUUAGUAGUGUUUUGUUGCAACAACCUGUUUAUACUUCCAUAACCUUCGGGCCAUCUUUGUUUCGGGUUUUAGAACUGUCUCAUGCGCCUACCCGACACCGUUGGUGUUUCCUCUCCCGUAUGUCCAUCCUCUUCAAGCUGGAUUGAACAGGAGGAAGAGAAAAUUUAUUUGGAAACAUCGAUCAAGCAAACUUAGAAUUAAAAAACUUGCGCCUCCAUUUUCCAAAGAUCACAUUGAUUUGUUGAAAGGUAGAUGUUUUUAGCCUUCUUUCACGGUGUAACAUACAGUUACUACACCAGCAUCCUCGGGAAAGUCAUUAGACGAAACGCCCACUUCACAAAGCAAGAAGAGACAACAAAACAAGGACGGACUCUCACCACGUAAAAAGAGAGCCACGUCGCCAAGCAGUUAUUCACCUUCGAAAGUGAUCAAGAAAAAGCUGAAGCUGAUCAAGAGAAGGCUCAAGAUAUGCCAUCCAAGUGAUGAAGGAGCUCCACACACCAAAUUCUAAGAUAAAUCAAACUACGCUCCCACCAUGGCAGACCCCAACACUGAAGAACCACCGUUCUUAGUAUUGUAAACAUAUGUGUAUCUCAUUUCAU